AUGUGGGUAGUCCCGUUGGUACUCCUUCAAACGAAUCCAAGCAGCCUUGAAAGCUUCAGCUGGACCUUGUGUGAAGGUAGACAACUUGUUUCUCAACUCCUCAGACUUAGCAUCAUCGUAGAAAUUGUUCAAGAAGGCUAUCUUGAUGCUUCUCCAAGUCUUGAGGGAACCUGCUUUAAGUUGUUUAAGCCACGA
Molecule: small RNA, 195 nt
Filed under: Arabidopsis thaliana (thale cress)
Lineage: Eukaryota; Viridiplantae; Streptophyta; Magnoliopsida; Brassicales; Brassicaceae
Description: ATSL272890
Source: RNAcentral